GUAACUUCUUGCCCCUGAGGGUAAGAUCAAGUGUAGUAUCUGUUUUCAUUAGUUUAAUGUCUGAUCACAUCCUCUGUUCAAAAACAAUAUGAUGAAUGGAUUUUCUGGAGCAGGGAGAUGGCAUAGAAAUUUGUGCUGUCUAUACCACUCAUUGACCUGGUAAUGCAGUACUUCGAGGAUCAAUGCACCGCCC
This 193-nucleotide small nuclear RNA is filed under the name Castor canadensis (American beaver). RNAcentral describes it as "U2 spliceosomal RNA (ENSCCNG00000024009.1)". It matches the Rfam family "U2 spliceosomal RNA". From Rfam's summary of the family: U2 is a small nuclear RNA (snRNA) component of the spliceosome (involved in pre-mRNA splicing). Lineage: Eukaryota; Metazoa; Chordata; Mammalia; Rodentia; Castoridae. The record is from Rfam by way of RNAcentral.